Molecule: long non-coding RNA, 431 nt
Organism: Eriocheir sinensis (Chinese mitten crab)
Lineage: Eukaryota; Metazoa; Arthropoda; Malacostraca; Decapoda; Varunidae
Exons: 2
Source: RefSeq, a predicted model, not a curated record
UCCUGCCUCUCAGGUUUGUUUGUUUUAGGAUUGUUACCCCAGGAUGGAGGGGAGCACGGGGCUCUACGCCUCACAGGGUGGUGGUGUGCCGCGGCGGGCAUGCAGCCAUAGAGUGACUUUAUAAAGGCCUAACCCGCGUCCCCCAGGUUCUCUUCGCAGUGCUGAGUCCAUCCCCCUACAGGAGCUAACAGCUGGCUUGCAGCCCCUAAAUUAUGUGGUCGAGCCGGAUCAGCCCUUUCAACCCGCAAUCCAUUGGUGGAUUGUCUUCGCCAUUGUCGUGAUCCUGGUUCUUCUGCUGGUGACGUCUGCCGUGGGGUAUUCCUAUGUCCUACGCUACGCACGACGCCGCCUAAUUCCAGACUCGAACCAACUGCAGACAUUGCAAGGCGUAUCUUCUCCACCAACACCUGUGAGAUCUCAGGGGCGAGAUC